GAUGAACGCUGGCGGCAGGCCUAACACAUGCAAGUCGAGCGGAUGAAGGAAGCUGUCUCUUCGCUUCUGUGACGGACGGGUGAGUAAUGCCUAGGAAUCUGCCUGGUAGCUGGGGAUAACGUCCGGAAACGGGCGCUAAUACCACACACGUCCUGAGUUAGAAACUGAGGGAUCAUCAGACCUCACGCUAUCAGAUGUCCCUAGGUUGUGUUAGCUCGUUGGAGUGGUAAGGUCGUACCAAGGCAACGAUCCGAAACUGAUCUGAGUUGAUGAUCAGGCACACUGGAACUGAGACACGGUACAGACUCCUACGGGAGGCAGCAGUGGAGAAUAUUCGACAAUGGGCGAAAGCCUGAUCGAGCCACGCCGCGUGUGUGAAGAAGGUCUUCGGAUUGUAAAGCUCUGUUAGUUGGGAAGAAGGGCAGUGUAAGGAACCGUUGCCGUUUUGACGGUACCAAAAGAAUAAGCACCGGCUAACUUCGUG
This 484-nucleotide ribosomal RNA is filed under the name uncultured bacterium. RNAcentral describes it as "partial 16S ribosomal RNA". It matches the Rfam family "Bacterial small subunit ribosomal RNA", at positions 28 to 507 of the family's 1533-position model. The record is from RNAcentral.